RNAcentral lists this ribosomal RNA (411 nucleotides) under Verrucomicrobiota bacterium. Its description in RNAcentral is "Verrucomicrobia bacterium partial 16S ribosomal RNA". It matches the Rfam family "Bacterial small subunit ribosomal RNA", at positions 355 to 776 of the family's 1533-position model. The record is from RNAcentral. Lineage: Bacteria; Pseudomonadati; Verrucomicrobiota.
UGGGGAAUAUUGCACAAUGGACGGAAGUCUGAUGCAGCGACGCCGCGUGGGGGAUGAAGGCUUUCGGGUUGUAAACUCCUUUCAGUACAGAAGAAGCUUUAUUGUGACGGUAUGUGCAGAAGAAGCGCCGGCUAACUACGUGCCAGCAGCCGCGGUAAUACGUAGGGCGCGAGCGUUGUCCGGAAUUAUUGGGCGUAAAGAGCUCGUAGGCGGUUUGUCGCGUCUGCUGUGAAAGACCGGGGCUUAACUCCGGGGCUGCAGUGGGUACGGGCAGGCUGGAGUGCGGUAGGGGUAACCGGAAUUCCGGGUGUAGCGGUGGAAUGCGCAGAUAUCAGGAGGAACACCGAUGGCGAAGGCAGGUUACUGGGCCGUUACUGACGCUGAGGAGCGAAAGCAUGGGGAGCGAACAGG